UGGGGACAGGAGUGGGAUGCGCCCCGCAGGGCUGGGGAUCCCCCCGUGGCCGCAAGCGCACGGCGAGGGCACCCUCGUGUCCCCAAAAGCGGACCCCGGAGGUGGCCGCAGUGACACCCAUGGGUGCAGGACACCGGGACACCACGCACGGCUCCGGGAGCAUUUCCCCGGCCGCCCCCCUGGGUUCCCACCCUCGCCGGCGGUGGCACCGGAGCAGCCUCACCACGACCACGGCCACGGCCACGGCCACGGCCACGGCGCACGGAUGUCCCCGUUCAGCCCAAGGCCCUGCCGUGGAGAAGGGGACAUUUUGGGAGCAGCGUUGGUGAUGCCGGGGGGGUCCCAGCCGCCCCCCCCCGACCCCUGCUGAUUUUGGGGCUGAUGGAGGUGAUCUGGGGGCAGCCCUGGGCCUGUGGCUCCCGUCUGUGCCAUGUCCCCACCGGUCUGUGCCAUGUUCCUACCACCCUGUGCCGUGUCACCACCACCCUGUGCCAUGUCCCCACCGCUCUGUGCCAUGUCCCUGCUGCUCUGUGCCAUGUCACCACCACCCUGUGCCAUGUCACCACCGCUCUGUGCCAUGUCCCCAUCAUGCCUGUGCCACAUCCCCACCAGCCUGUGCCGUCUCCAUCUGUGCGCACUGCGUCCCCGCCGUCCCAGGCCGUGUGGCACCUGGCGCGUGCCACGUCCCUGCUGGGUUGUGCCGUGUCCCCAUCACUCUGUGCCAUGUCCCCAUCACUCUGUGCCGUGUCCCCACCGGUCUGUGCCGUGUCCCCAUCGUGGCUCUGCCACAUCCCCGUCACCCUGUGCCACAUCCCCACCACUCCGUGCCGUGUCCCCACCACUCUGUGCCAUGUCCCCAUCAUCCUGUGCCGUGUCCCUGCCCACCUGUGCCAUGUCCCCUCCACCCUGUGCCACGUCCCCACCGCUCCAUGCCACGUCCCCAUGGGUCCCCUGCCCCCGACACCAGCAGCACCCCCAGGAUUUCUCUCUGCUCCCCGAUGCCCCCCGUGCCCAGGAUGCUGCCAGACCCCCCCCCCUUUACCCUGCCUGCCCCCCCCCAGCCUGGCACGUUGCCCACCCAGGGUCCAGGUGUCCCCGUGCCACACGCGGCUGCGGCAGGACCCUGGGGUGCUGGGGCUGGGUGGCUCUGCAGGACGUCC
RNAcentral lists this long non-coding RNA (1160 nucleotides) under Anas platyrhynchos platyrhynchos (common mallard). RNAcentral describes it as "lncRNA (ENSAPLG00000018740.1)". The record is from RNAcentral. Lineage: Eukaryota; Metazoa; Chordata; Aves; Anseriformes; Anatidae.